AGUGAACGCUGGCGGUAGGCCUAACACAUGCAAGUCGAACGGCAGCACAGUAAGAGCUUGCUCUUACGGGUGGCGAGUGGCGGACGGGUGAGGAAUACAUCGGAAUCUACUUUUUCGUGGGGGAUAACGUAGGGAAACUUACGCUAAUACCGCAUACGACCUACGGGUGAAAGCAGGGGAUCUUCGGACCUUGCGCGAUUGAAUGAGCCGAUGUCGGAUUAGCUAGUUGGCGGGGUAAAGGCCCACCAAGGCGACGAUCCGUAGCUGGUCUGAGAGGAUGAUCAGCCACACUGGAACUGAGACACGGUCCAGACUCCUACAGGAGGCAGCAGUGGGGAAUAUUGGACAAUGGGCGCAAGCCUGAUCCAGCCAUACCGCGUGGGUGAAGAGGGCCUUCGGGUUGUAAAGCCCUUUUGUUGGGAAAGAAAAGCAGCAGGUUAAUACCCCGCUAUUCUGACGGUACCCAAAGAAUAAGCACCGGCUAACUUCGUG
This 492-nucleotide ribosomal RNA is filed under the name uncultured bacterium. RNAcentral's name for it is "partial 16S ribosomal RNA". It matches the Rfam family "Bacterial small subunit ribosomal RNA", at positions 29 to 507 of the family's 1533-position model. The record is from RNAcentral.